CAGGAGAUACAACUUGUGCUUUAUGGGACAUCGAAACUGCCCAGCAGACCACCACAUUCACUGGGCAUUCUGGAGAUGUGAUGAGUCUUUCUUUGAGUCCUGACAUGAGGACUUUUGUUUCUGGUGCUUGUGAUGCCUCUUCCAAAUUAUGGGAUAUUCGAGAUGGAAUGUGUAGACAGUCUUUCACGGGACAUGUCUCAGAUAUCAAUGCUGUCAGUGGGGAAGUUUGGAGACAGGCAAGCAUAGAGGGAAGAUGAUGUGAAGAGACACAGGAGAAGACAGUCAUCUACAGGACAGUGAGAAGAUUACACAUCUUUCUGUCACAGUCCUCAGAUAUCUUGGUUUCAAGUUUCUAGCCUCCAGAACUGUGAGACAAUACAUUCCUUUUGUUUAAGCCACCCAGCUUGUGGUGCUUUGUUAUGGCAGCCUUAGCAAUGAACAUAUCUAUCUAUCUAUCUAUCAAUCAAUAAAUAAAUCAACUAUCUCCUCAG
This 491-nucleotide long non-coding RNA is filed under the name Homo sapiens (human). RNAcentral's name for it is "non-protein coding lnc-KCNMB3-3:1". The record is from RNAcentral. Lineage: Eukaryota; Metazoa; Chordata; Mammalia; Primates; Hominidae.